UACAGAGGUCCCGAGCGUUGUUCGGAUUCACUGGGCGUAAAGGGUGCGUAGGUGGUUUGGUAAGUUUGAUGUGAAAUCUCCGAGCUUAACUUGGAAACUGCAUUGAAUACUAUCGGACUGGAGGAUUGGAGGGGGGACUGGAAUACUUGGUGUAGCAGUGAAAUGCGUAGAUAUCAAGUGGAACACCAGUGGCGAAGGCGAGUCCCUGGACAAAUCCUGACACUGAGGCACGAAAGCCAGGGGAGCAAACAGG
This 253-nucleotide ribosomal RNA is filed under the name uncultured bacterium. RNAcentral's name for it is "partial 16S ribosomal RNA". It matches the Rfam family "Bacterial small subunit ribosomal RNA", at positions 524 to 776 of the family's 1533-position model. The record is from RNAcentral.